This 253-nucleotide ribosomal RNA is filed under the name uncultured bacterium. Its description in RNAcentral is "partial 16S ribosomal RNA". It matches the Rfam family "Bacterial small subunit ribosomal RNA", at positions 524 to 776 of the family's 1533-position model. The record is from RNAcentral.
UACGAAGGGGGCUAGCGUUGUUCGGAUUUACUGGGCGUAAAGGGCGCGUAGGCGGAUUUUUAAGUCAGGGGUGAAAUCCCAAGGCUCAACCUUGGAACUGCCUUUGAUACUGGGAAUCUUGAGUCCGGGAGAGGUGAGUGGAACUGCGAGUGUAGAGGUGAAAUUCGUAGAUAUUCGCAAGAACACCAGUGGCGAAGGCGGCUCACUGGCCCGGAACUGGCGCUGAGGCGCGAAAGCGUGGGGAGCGAACAGG